This 478-nucleotide ribosomal RNA is filed under the name uncultured bacterium. RNAcentral's name for it is "partial 16S ribosomal RNA". It matches the Rfam family "Bacterial small subunit ribosomal RNA", at positions 28 to 507 of the family's 1533-position model. The record is from RNAcentral.
GAUGAACGCUGGCGGCGUGCUUAACACAUGCAAGUCGAACGAGAAGUGAAGACGGAAACCUUCGGGCGGAAGGCUUUAUUUCUAGUGGCGGACGGGUGAGUAACGCGUGGGUAACCUGCCUCAUACAGGGGGAUAACAGUUGGAAACGACUGUUAAUACCGCAUAAGACCACAGCACCGCAUGGUGCGGGGGUAAAAACUCCGGUGGUAUGAGAUGGACCCGCGUUCGAUUAGCCAGUUGGCGGGGUAACGGCCCACCAAAGCGACGAUCGAUAGCCGAUCUGAGAGGAUGACCGGCCACAUUGGGACUGAGCCACGGCCCAAACUCCUACGGGAGGAAGCAGUGGGGAAUAUUGCACAAUGGGGGAAACCCUGAUGCAGCGACGCCGCGUGAGUGAAGAAGUAUUUCGGUAUGUAAAGCUCUAUCAGCAGGGAAGAAAAUGACGGUACCUGAGUAAGAAGCCCCGGCUAACUACGUG